ACACGUCCGUGUGAAGGAGGAAGGUUUGU
RNAcentral lists this small RNA (29 nucleotides) under Sinorhizobium meliloti 2011. RNAcentral's name for it is "putative ncRNA". Lineage: Bacteria; Pseudomonadati; Pseudomonadota; Alphaproteobacteria; Hyphomicrobiales; Rhizobiaceae. The record is from RNAcentral.